RNAcentral lists this transfer RNA (85 nucleotides) under Dichotomosiphon tuberosus. Its description in RNAcentral is "tRNA-Leu". It matches the Rfam family "tRNA". From Rfam's summary of the family: Transfer RNA (tRNA) molecules are approximately 80 nucleotides in length. The record is from RNAcentral. Lineage: Eukaryota; Viridiplantae; Chlorophyta; Ulvophyceae; Bryopsidales; Dichotomosiphonaceae.
AGGGAUAUGGCGAAAUUGGUAGACGCUACAGACUUAAAAUUUGUUGAUUCAUUGAAUCGUGAGGGUUCAAAUCCCUUUAUCCCUA